AUGGGAACCCUCAAUGUGAAAAUCCUGCUAUGUCUGCUACUCCUCAUGCCACUCCAUUUGGUUCCCGGUUCCGGGGGCGCAACAUGCAAAGAGCUCAGUAGGACAUAUACCAAUCCACGAUGUGAUAACGAUGAAUGUGUUGAGGCCUGCCGCAAGGAGGGCUUUACCCGAGGGGCGUGUGGAGGUAUUAUCAAAAGGAAAAAAAUUAUGAUACUUUGUUUUUGCAAAAAAGAGUGUUAA
RNAcentral lists this ribosomal RNA (240 nucleotides) under Triticum aestivum (bread wheat). Its description in RNAcentral is "partial small subunit ribosomal RNA". Lineage: Eukaryota; Viridiplantae; Streptophyta; Magnoliopsida; Poales; Poaceae. The record is from RNAcentral.